This 73-nucleotide transfer RNA is filed under the name Rhamnusium bicolor. RNAcentral's name for it is "tRNA-OTHER". Lineage: Eukaryota; Metazoa; Arthropoda; Insecta; Coleoptera; Cerambycidae. The record is from RNAcentral.
ACCAUUUGUGGUCGAAUGGUAAGAACACUUACCUUUCACCUUGGAGUCCCGGGUUCGAUCCCCGGUGGAGGAA